Molecule: ribosomal RNA, 649 nt
Filed under: uncultured bacterium
Lineage: Bacteria
Description: bacterial SSU rRNA
Rfam family: Bacterial small subunit ribosomal RNA
Source: RNAcentral
GCGCGCGCAGGCGGCCUUUUAAGUUGGAUGUGAAAGCCUAUGGCUCAACCAUAGAACUGCAUCCAAAACUAUCAGGCUAGAGUGUGGGAGAGGAAGAUGGAAUUAGUUGUGUAGGGGUAAAAUCCGUAGAGAUAACUAGGAAUACCAAAAGCGAAGGCAAUCUUCUGGAACAUUACUGACGCUGAGGCGCGAAAGCGUGGGGAGCAAACAGGAUUAGAUACCCUGGUAGUCCACGCCCUAAACGAUGAAUGUUAGUCGUCGGGUAGCUAGUCUAUUCGGUGAUGCAGCUAACGCAUUAAACAUUCCGCCUGGGGAGUACGGUCGCAAGAUUAAAACUCAAAGGAAUAGACGGGGACCCGCACAAGUGGUGGAGCAUGUGGUUUAAUUCGAAGAUACGCGAAGAACCUUACCUAGCCUUGACAUAUUUUAGAACACUUUAGAGAUAGAGUGGUGCCUUCGGGAGCUAAUAUACAGGUGCUGCACGGCUGUCGUCAGCUCGUGUCGUGAGAUGUUGGGUUAAGUCCCGCAACGAGCGCAACCCUCGUCACUAGUUACUAACGGUUCGGCCGAGGACUCUAGUGAGACUGCCUUCGCAAGGAGGAGGAAGGUGAGGACGACGUCAAGUCAUCAUGGCCCUUACGGCUAGGGC